UGAAGCAUUUUAUAACAUUUUCAUUGUUAUUUUUUAUGAUUUAUACAAACGAGCCUUUCAAAUUAUGAUCAGCUGCGUUUUCUGUCGUAAAGCUUGUAAAACGACAUCAGAACACGUAGAUAACGGGUUUAAAUCUGAACAAGCACCACGGAAUUUUUUGUAAAGAAAAAACGUCAGGAAACCUGCACGUGUUGGAUGAGAAUUUUCUACAUGAGUAUCAACUAAGCUGCAUUGGAACAGCGUGGUUAAAUAAACUCCAAGAUUUACCUCAAAAAGGAAAGGAGGCCUUAGCCCAGCAGUGGGAAUUAUGUCACCGGCUCCCACCGCAGCCUUUCCCCGGGGCCCGUGACGCUCUCAGGGAAACAUUUAAAAGACUGGGACCGAAAUAGCCCUAGAUCUAAUGUUGGCCUCAAAUUCAGACAAUAUAAUGAAACAAUAUUCAGUUACUUACAAUACAAGUUGUGGUGGUAUUUUUGUUUAAAAAAUUCUCAUAAUUGUCAGCAGUAAUAAGUUUUUUAAUUAACAUGUUUAACGGGGGUGCAUCAUAUGGUACCAUAAAUAACCAUCGAUCUGCCCUAUCAUUACUUCUUGGAAAUUACGUCGGAUCAGACUAGCGUAUUAAAUGCUUAUUAAAAGCUAUUUGCAGACAAAAGCCACCUCGUCCUAAAUACACAACAACAUGGAAUCCCAAGAUUUUGCUCGACCAUGUCUCGACUUAGUACCCUAUAAAUGAUCUAGACUUAACAAGGUUAACGAAAAAAUUGAAUAUUUUAUUAGCCGUAUGUACAUCUCACCGAGUCUAAACAUUAUCACUUAUCAAGGUCACCAACAUUAAUAAGACUUCCUCGGGUACCAAGAUCACAAUAUCUGACAUAAUAAAGACAUCAGCAGCUAGCCGUGACCAACCUGUACUAUUUUUACCUUAUUUUGUAUAUAAUAAUCCAAGCAUAUGCCCCGCAAAGACUUUGGAGGAUUACCUUCUAGCAUAAACAUCAAAGUUGUAGUUCUGUUCACUGUACAUAGUACUCGUCUAUACUGUACAUGCAUCCACCUCGGCGGCGGCCUCAGUACGAGUUUGCAUUCACACUAUAAAAAAGACAGCCAGACAGCUAAUCUUUGAAGUUUGCUCGGUUUUAUAA
Nymphalis io (European peacock) is the source of this 1139-nucleotide long non-coding RNA. RefSeq lists it as uncharacterized. The record is from RefSeq and is a predicted model, not a curated record. The transcript has 3 exons. NCBI's taxonomy places the organism in Eukaryota, Metazoa, Arthropoda, Insecta, Lepidoptera, Nymphalidae.